UAAUGACAAUGAUUUCAUGGUGUUGGGAGUAAGAAUUGGAGAUCUGAUACUGCUAACAUGUUGGUUAGCAUCACAGCUUGUCCAUAGGGAUACUGGCUGGGGUAGCAUUUGGAUCUGUUUCAAGGUGCGUUCCUGCUGCUGCCUUGUGUGUUCAAUCCUGUGGACAAUGAUAAUCAUGCAAACCACAUAUAUGUUGCAUUUUUGUUUAUUAAAAUCCUUAAGUGAUUUUUUAAUGCUAUUAUUUAUUUUCCAUUUACUGUAAACUCACAAAUUUUUGUUUUUUAAUGCUGUUAUUUAUUUUCCAAUUAUUGAAAAUUCACAGAUUUUUGAUAUAUUUUUUUUACUGAAAAUUGCUACACCGAGAUAGAUUUUGCAAAAAUAAAAUUAUAUUUUAAAUUUUGAUAGCAUUAUUUAUUUGCAACAUGUCCUUAAUGACAAUAAUUAAUUUAAAUAAAUGCUUGCAAAUUUUUUUUGAAUUUACAGUAUAAAUAUGUUUUCAUUAUUUAUAUAUGCAUGAUAUUAUUAUACAUUGUAUUUUGCUUUAUAAUAAACAAAAUU
This is a long non-coding RNA of Mytilus californianus (California mussel), 558 nucleotides long. RefSeq lists it as uncharacterized. Lineage: Eukaryota; Metazoa; Mollusca; Bivalvia; Mytilida; Mytilidae. The record is from RefSeq and is a predicted model, not a curated record. The transcript is spliced from 3 exons.